AAGAAAUUAUUAUAUGAAUGUGUGUGUGUGUGUGGAUCAAUGUGCAAUUAUUUGAAAGUAGUGAGAGGCCUCAUUCGCACCUAUAUACACAAGGUUUGAAUUUUAUAGGAAAAUUCAUUUUUAACUAAGAUAUAGCAAUGAAGUUUUGUAAAAGAGGUUUUUCAAACCCUGUGCUCAAUAGGAAUUGAGACCUUUACAUACUUCCAUUUUUAUUGUUAAAUGUCUGGCUUGUUUGCUUUUAUUUUCGAGAUGCGAAGCAUUCUCGAGAAAAUAAUAUACAGUAGUGUCGAACUCCUCAUGGG
Molecule: long non-coding RNA, 302 nt
Filed under: Panax ginseng (ginseng)
Lineage: Eukaryota; Viridiplantae; Streptophyta; Magnoliopsida; Apiales; Araliaceae
Description: long non-coding RNA (PGIN_LNC001098)
Source: RNAcentral